This is a non-coding RNA of Tetranychus urticae (two-spotted spider mite), 1385 nucleotides long. Lineage: Eukaryota; Metazoa; Arthropoda; Arachnida; Trombidiformes; Tetranychidae. The record is from RefSeq and is a predicted model, not a curated record.
GUCUUUUAUAAUUUGAUUAAUAUUCAGUUUAUAAUCCUGUGAUUGGUUUUAUUUAAUUUGUUUUGAUUCUAUCAAUGUUCAACCAACAAUUCAUUUCAAUGUGAAAAGCCCAGAUCGAUAACUUGUCAAGUUAUCGAAUGGAAAAAAUUGAAGAUAAAACCUUGACCUCAAACAACGGAAAUUAUUUUCAUUAACAAUCGACCGGUUAUUAAGCUUGGGCUUUACUUUCAUCCAACGGUACUUACACCCUGAAGAUGAUAAUCAUUAACAGUACAAGUGUUAUUAUCUCAUGUAGCGGUUCUUUCAAGAGCUUAGUGAAAUAGUCUUCUCAGUGAGAGUUUAUUGGCUUCGAAAGGGUUCCUUGUUGAGGUUGAUGCUCUUUUUAAGAAUUUACUCAUCAAUUUGUUUCUCUUUCCUGAUCAUCAUAAUCAACCUUUCGCUCACUCUCUUCCUCUUCUUCCUGGGAAUAAUUCUAUUAUCAAGAUUUAAGAACCUGGUCAAUAUUAUUCAGAAAAUAUGAUGAAUUCAAAAAUUUUUCACCAUCAGAUAAGUGAUCAAUUGGAUAUUAUUUGAUUGUUUAAAUUUACUUGCUAUUUCGUCUAACCUGUUCCUGGAUUUUAAAAAUGCUUUUCCUGGAGAUGAUGAGCAUGAUGAGUGGAUGAAUGAAAUGAAAGUGAAGUGAAAUGAUCUCAACAUGAUCUUUACAAAACUUGAAACUACAAAAUGCUGAUAAUGAUAAUAAUAGCGAUGGUAAACUAGGAAAAGAAACAAAAGGUUGCUGAUCUUGUUCCUCAAUGUGAUGAAAAAAAAAUAAAAGUUAAGGCCUUACAACCAAAGCAAACAAGUUACUCAUUAACUUAACCUGUUCAUUGGUCUGCUUUCUUUGCAAUGGAUAAUUCCUUCACAACAAGAAGCUCUUCCUUAAUUCUUCCUGAUGAGUUAUCAACACUUCCUGAUAAACUGAACAAGACUGAGUUAACCGAUUAACGCCCUUGCCCCAAUUGACGAUAAACCAUCAACAUGGUAACCUGGCUAAUAUCCCUGGCGAUUUGAGGCUUAUUUCAGGAAACGUUAUUUAUAUUAUCAGAUUUGUAACAAAAAAUGGAUUGCAAGGCACAAGUUCAAAUGAAUAAUGACCAGGAAAAGAAGCUAAAGAUCAAAUAUUUGGCUUUACUGGUUAAAUUUAUUUCACCAUGCAACUCAGAUUUAAUUUUAUACACUUUCAGAGAAAACUUUUCAAAGUGAAGUAACUUCAAGUCAAGUUUUAAAUUGGUGAGAAAAUUAAAGGAAAUUUCUUACCAUGGCAUUGAUGUCGUUGGUAAUUGGGCUUGGUUCACCUGAGAUAAUUUGACAAACCAAUAGAGUAAGCAGUAUUUUACAUAUGA